Molecule: non-coding RNA, 780 nt
Filed under: Trichomonas vaginalis G3
Lineage: Eukaryota; Parabasalia; Trichomonadida; Trichomonadidae
Description: Eukaryotic small subunit ribosomal RNA
Rfam family: Eukaryotic small subunit ribosomal RNA
Source: Rfam by way of RNAcentral
UGGAAUACUUUGACUCAUGAGAGAGAAGCUGAGGCGAAGGCGUCUACCUUUAGGGUUUCUGUCGAUCAAGGGCGAGAGUAGGAGUAUCCAACAGGAUUAGAGACCCUGGUAGUUCCUACCUUAAACGAUGCCGACAGGAGUUUGUCAUUUGUUAAUGGCAGAAUCUUUGGAGAAAUCAUAGUUCUUGGGCUCUGGGGGAACUACGACCGCAAGGCUGAAACUUGAAGGAAUUGACGGAAGGGCACACCAGGGGUGGAGCCUGUGGCUUAAUUUGAAUCAACACGGGGAAACUUACCAGGACCAGAUGUUUUUUAUGACUGACAGGCUUCGGGUCUUUCAGGAUAUUGUUUUUGGUGGUGCAUGGCCGUUGGUGGUGCGUGGGUUGACCUGUCUAGCGUUGAUUCAGCUAACGAGCGAGAUUAUCGCCAAUUAUUUACUUUGCCGAAGUCCUUCGGUUAAAGUUCUAAUUGGGACUCCCUGCGAUUUUAGCAGGUGGAAGAGGGUAGCAAUAACAGGUCCGUGAUGCCCUUUAGAUGCUCUGGGCUGCACGCGUGCUACAAUGUUAGGAUCAAUAGGACUGCGAGCCUGAGAGGGUGCGCUACUCUUAUAAUCCCUAACGUAGUUGGGAUUGACGUUUGUAAUCAGCGUCAUGAACCAGGAAUCCCUUGUAAAUGUGUGUCAACAACGCACGUUGAAUACGUCCCUGCCCUUUGUACACACCGCCCGUCGCUCCUACCGAUUGGAUGACUCGGUGAAAUCACCGGAUGCUUACGAGCAGAA